RNAcentral lists this long non-coding RNA (1950 nucleotides) under Capra hircus (goat). Its description in RNAcentral is "lncRNA (ENSCHIG00010005904.1)". The record is from RNAcentral. Lineage: Eukaryota; Metazoa; Chordata; Mammalia; Artiodactyla; Bovidae.
GUAUUGAAAAAUGGCUCAAUAACAAUAGAACAACUUAUGGUUAUUCCAGAGAAAUAGAUUGGAGAGAAAAAAUUCUUCUUAUUCUCUUUUGAAAGCCUUUAGACUUUUGUUUUUAGUCAUUUCUGGUUUUUUUUUUAAUUUUUUCUACUAAUUCAAUUGCUUGAGAGGAAAGAAUCUGUAUUUAAAAUCCCCAAUUCUCAGCAAUUGCAUUCAAACACUACCGCUUGUUAGUCAGCAUAUCCACUUUUCGUUUAGAUUUCAAAGUUUGUUUUUAACCAUAGUCCAAUGUUUUCCUGUUUAGUUUUCCCUAGAACUGGUUCAACCUAUAUUUCUCAUUUCCCAAAAUGACAGUGAGUUCAAUGGCAAUAUGUUUAUCAGUGAGGGCGGGCUUCAAAUGUGUGCAAAUUAAGUCCAACGGUCCUAACUCUCCAAUGGGAGGACUAUUUAAAGUAUUUCAGUAUAGACAUAUUAUUUUUCUGUUUACAAUCGAAACUUCUUUUAGUGACAAAUACUAAUUUCUGAUAGUCUGAGCUUAUCUAAGAGACAUCACUGGCUUUAAGGAAACUGAAGUGUUCUUUGUUAUUCUUACUUACUCAUCACUGAACAAAGCUGUUUUUUCACUUGAAGCAAGAAGACUGAAUUCCUACACCAUUAUUAUAUGCUCACAAACACUAUGAUGGGCAUGCAGACACGGCGGUCCAACUCUAUUCGUAAUUAUUCACGCCAGUAGAAAGGAGACUGAGACAACACAGAGCUGAACACAGUCCAAAAGCCUUAUGCAUUUCAGUUUAGAAAGUCCUGCUUGACUUUCAUUUGGAGAUGGAAAAUUUACCAAACUGAUACAUGAACUGAGUAUUUAUUAGGCAUCCGCCGUAUAAAGCAUUUUAAGCACUAGGGGACAUUACAGGGUAUAAAAGGAAUACCUGGUAAGUGGUUUGCUGAGAGAUCAAUCAACAGGAGGGAAAACAGCACAGCGGUGAUGCUCUCUUGAGAAGGCAGGGCAAUGAUGGAUCAACUCAGGAAAUAAUCGCCAAAUCCUAGUUAUGAAACGGUGAAAAACAGAGCUCGCUUCUUGGGUGAAAUUUAUCUUUGCUCCAGAAUUGAAGGGCACAUUGGCCAUAGUUUUCUUUUUUUUUUUUUUUUNNNNNNNNNNNNNNNNNNNNNNNNNNNNNNNNNNNNNNNNNNNNNNNNNNNNNNNNNNNNNNNAUCAUCCCACCCUCUCCCUCUCCCUCUGAGUCCAAAAGUCCAUUAAAGAAUGGAAACAUAUUCCAGAACCCCAGAAAAAUCAUGGAGAGGAAAGACCAAAUAAAGUCACCGCCUUCUGGCUGCAGGAUGGGUUGUGGUAAGGGACUUGUCUAAUGUAAAAUGUAUCAACAGCAGAACAGAGCCUAAAAUUUCUGUUUCAUGAACCCUCACUGAGUGGAGAAAUAGUGUCCCAGUAUUCUAUUACUGGAUUAAAUUCCAUUUCUCCACAGAACAGUUUUAAUUGUUACUGUGACUAUGGCCACGUAACACAACCAGUUAAAUCAGUUUCAUCAGUUCCAUUGACUUAACUGGGGUUGAAAACUACAUACCAAGCCAGCCAACGUCCAAGUCACAUUGACAAACGUGUUCCUCAUCACACGUGCCCCACAUAUGUUUUCAUAGUGGCCAUAUAGCUAGAAUGCACCAGUAUGAUAGUACCAGUUGUUAGAAUAGUAAAACAUUUGUCUUCUAGUUGGUAAGAUUGCAUCUCUGAUAGACCCUUCAAAUGACUUCACAACCACAAGAGCCACCCAGACUUCUCAAAUAGUCUCGAUAAUCUAGUAGCUGAAGGAGACACAAUCAGGCCCCUUGAGGACCCUGCUUCAAUCUGACUGGCCAGUGCUUGGGCCAGCAGUUAUUCUGAUUGGUCAAUACCGAUAGUGCGCCAGAGGUUAUUACUCCUACCUUUCACUUCCAUAUUGUUCA